Molecule: ribosomal RNA, 460 nt
Filed under: uncultured bacterium
Lineage: Bacteria
Description: partial 16S ribosomal RNA
Rfam family: Bacterial small subunit ribosomal RNA
Source: RNAcentral
CCUACGGGAGGCAGCAGUGAGGAAUAUUGGUCAAUGGGCGUAAGCCUGAACCAGCCAAGUCGCGUGAGGGAUGAAGGUUCUAUGGAUCGUAAACCUCUUUUAUAAGGGAAUAAAGUGUGGGACGUGUCCUGUUUUGUAUGUACCUUAUGAAUAAGGAUCGGCUAACUCCGUGCCAGCAGCCGCGGUAAUACGGAGGAUCCGAGCGUUAUCCGGAUUUAUUGGGUUUAAAGGGUGCGUAGGCGGCCUGUUAAGUCAGCGGUGAAAGUUUGUGGCUCAACCAUAGAAUUGCCGUUGAAACUGGGAGGCUUGAGUAUGUUUGAGGCAGGCGGAAUGCGUGGUGUAGCGGUGAAAUGCUUAGAUAUCACGCAGAACCCCGAUUGCGAAGGCAGCCUGCCAAGCCAUGACUGACGCUGAUGCACGAAAGCGUGGGGAUCAAACAGGAUUAGAUACCCCAGUAGUC